UCCUAGGGUCUGCAUUCAAGGGCCUUUCC
RNAcentral lists this non-coding RNA (29 nucleotides) under Mus musculus (house mouse). Lineage: Eukaryota; Metazoa; Chordata; Mammalia; Rodentia; Muridae. The record is from RNAcentral.